This 1440-nucleotide ribosomal RNA is filed under the name marine metagenome. Its description in RNAcentral is "bacterial LSU rRNA". It matches the Rfam family "Bacterial large subunit ribosomal RNA", at positions 973 to 2476 of the family's 2925-position model. The record is from RNAcentral.
UAUCAUAGCAGUGAGACUGUGGGGGAUAAGCUCCAUUGUCGAAAGGGAAACAGCCCAGAUCGCAAGUUAAGGUCCCUAAGUAUAUGCUAAGUGUUAAACGAAGUAGGGUCGCCCAGACAGCCAGGAGGUUGGCUUAGAAGCAGCCAUCCUUUAAAGAGUGCGUAACAGCUCACUGGUCAAACGCAGUUGCGCGGAUAAUGUAACGGGGCUCAAACACGUCACCGAAGCUAGGGAUAUAACCAGGUUAAACCUGGAGAUAUGGUAGGGGAGCGUUGAUACGGCGGAGAAGGUGUCCUGGCAAGGGAUGCUGGAGCGGUAUCAAGUGCGAAUGCUGGUAUGAGUAGCGAGAAAUGCGUGAGAACCGCAUUGGCCGAAAAUCUAAGGUUUCCGACGGAAGGUCAGUCCGCGUCGGGUUAGUCGGGCCUAAGCCGAGGCCGAGAGGCGUAGGCGAUGGACAACGGGUUAAUAUUCCCGUACCGGUAGCAUGUUGGAGAGGAACUCCUGGUGGAGGCUCAGCCACUGAGUGGAUUGUGGUUGCAAGCGGAGGAAGUCCGCGAUGCCGUGCCGAAAUGGCAAGAAGUGAGAGGUACACUGGGACUAGAAAAGACCGAACUGUAAAUGCUACUGCCCGUACCGCAAACCGACACAGGUAGAUGGGUAGAGGAUACCAAGGCCAACGGGAGAACCUUCGUUAAGGAAUUAGGCAAAAUGGAUCCGUAACUUCGGGAUAAGGAUCACCCCUGAGAGGGGGUCGCAGUGAAAUGGCUCUGCCGACUGUUUACCAAAAACACAGGUCUCUGCCAAGCCGAAAGGCGAAGUAUAGGGGCUGAAGCCUGCCCAGUGCCGGAAGGUUAAGUGGACGUGUUAACGCACUGAAAUGAAGCCCCGGUGAACGGCGGCCGUAACUAUAACGGUCCUAAGGUAGCGAAAUUCCUUGUCGGGUAAGUUCCGACCCGCACGAAAGGCUUAACGAGUGGAGCACUGUCUCAACGAGGGACCCGGCGAAAUUGAAGUAUGCGUAAAAAUGCGUAUUACCUGCAGCAGGACAAAAAGACCCCGUGGAGCUUUACUGUAGCCUGUCAUUGCGUUAGGGUGCAACUUGUGUAGGAUAGCUGGGAGACUAGGAAGCGUGGACGUCAGUCUGCGUGGAGUCAACGUUGAAAUACCAGCCUGGUUCUACUUUGACCCUAACCCGCCCUUUCACAGAGGGGGGGACAGUGACUGGUGGGCAGUUUGACUGGGGCGGUCGCCUCCGAAAGAGUAACGGAGGCGCCCAAAGGUUGGCUCAGGCGGAAUGGAAACCCGUCAAAGAGUGUAAAGGCAAAAGCCAGCUUGACUGGGAGAGAGACACCUCGACCAGAGACGAAAGUCGGGCUUAGUGAUCCUACGGCGCUGAGUGGAAAGGCCGUAGCUUACCGGAUAAAAGCUACCCCGGGGAUA